UACGGAGGAUCCAAGCGUUAUCCGGAUUUAUUGGGUUUAAAGGGUGCGUAGGCGGAAUGAUAAGUCAGUGGUGAAAGCCUGCAGCUUAACUGCAGAACUGCCAUUGAUACUGUCAAUCUUGAGUACAUUUGAUGUGGGCGGAAUGUGUCAUGUAGCGGUGAAAUGCUUAGAUAUGACACAGAACACCGAUUGCGAAGGCAGCUCACAAAACUGUAACUAACGCUGAGGCACGAAAGCGUGGGUAUCAAAACAGG
This 254-nucleotide ribosomal RNA is filed under the name uncultured bacterium. Its description in RNAcentral is "partial 16S ribosomal RNA". It matches the Rfam family "Bacterial small subunit ribosomal RNA", at positions 524 to 776 of the family's 1533-position model. The record is from RNAcentral.